This 389-nucleotide ribosomal RNA is filed under the name Crustacea sp. 'Maxillopoda'. RNAcentral describes it as "partial small subunit ribosomal RNA". It matches the Rfam family "Eukaryotic small subunit ribosomal RNA", at positions 582 to 975 of the family's 1831-position model. Lineage: Eukaryota; Metazoa; Arthropoda. The record is from RNAcentral.
AUUCCAGCUCCAAUAGCGUAUAUUAAAGUUGUUGCGGUUAAAAAGCUCGUAGUUGGAGUUCUGCCAGGUGACGCUCGUCCGCCCAAGUGGUGUGUACAGGGCGUGCAUCUGGCCCCUUCAAGGGGAACGUGUUGCACUUUAUUGUGUGGCGCGAGAUCCUUGACUUUUACUUUGAGGAAAUAAGAGUGUUCCAAGCAGGCUCUCGUCGUGCAUAGCUCAGCAUGGAAUAAUAGCAUUGGACUUCGUUUCUAUUUUGUUGGUUUUCGGAAAUCGACUUAAUGAUAAAUAGGGACAGUCGGGGGCAUUUGUAUUCAAACGACAGAGGUGAAAUUCUUGGACCGUUUGAAGACAAACUACCGCGAAAGCAUUUGCCAAGAAUGUUUUCAUUG